CUUAUUUAAUGCUCAUGUGACUGGAAUAAACUCAGUGUGAAGAGAUACAGAGCUUGCACAAUAAUUUUUGCUCUUUAAAGUUUUUUUUUAUCUACAAUCUAAUCUUUAAAUCAAGACCAUGAGUGCUGUUAAUGUUGUGCAACUGUUCGUUCUUGUGUUGGUCUUUAACACUGUCUGUCAAGCAGAUGAAGAUUUCUGCAGUGUAAGCUGUGAUAAUGUGACUGGAUCUGUGGGGAGAGAAGCAACUUUCACCUGCAGUGUCUCCGAGCAGUGCGCUAAAUGUUGUAUAAUAAUGUAUGUAUUUCAAUACACUGAGAGCUAUAAAGACUCAACAGUCUGUAAACAAGAGUUUUAUAUGGACCCCUGUGAAAAGAGAAACAGCUUCACAUGCCGCUACACUCCACCUACAGCAAUGACAGCAAAAUUCAGAUUCUUUGUGCAAACAAUGUGUACAAUAAAAGAACUGAAUUCAAUGUCAACAUACCAGGUACCAUAUAUAUAUAUAUACUGUGUUUUAUAAUUAUUUUCAUUUAUUUUCAGUCUAUUAACAGUGGUUCAAAAUCUGUUAACAGGGGCCAUUAAACCAGAAAUUGAAAUUGAGGCUCCUGGCAAGAAAGGUAUUAUAUUCUAUAUUCUAAUAAUUGAUUAUUUAGAAUUGAGUUUAUAAUCUGUUUAGAAACCC
This is a long non-coding RNA of Cyprinus carpio (common carp), 682 nucleotides long. RefSeq lists it as uncharacterized. NCBI's taxonomy places the organism in Eukaryota, Metazoa, Chordata, Actinopteri, Cypriniformes, Cyprinidae. The record is from RefSeq and is a predicted model, not a curated record.